UAAAAAUUUAUCAGUUAUAAUAUGCAUCAAUAAACUAAGUCAGUAUAGACAUUGUUUAAAAUUAUAUUAUAAAAAAAAUUAAGCCCUUUUUUCACUUUUUCUAUAAUAUAUCAAUUUAAAUUGGGUAAAAAAAAUAUAUAUAUCAAUUUUGAAAAGAAAUAGUCAUGUGCAUGCACUUUUAUUCUGAUGAAUUGCCAUAAGGAAGACCAAUCCCGGGGUAGGUACAAAACCAAAUAUGCCAUCACCUUCAAGCUCAUUGAAUAUUCAAAGAAACAACAAACUAUUUAUACUUUUAUAAAAUCCAAUAAUUACAUCAAAGUGAAAGUGAUUGAAAAAUCACCAGAUUCAGCUGUUGGUAGAGAUCUUAUCACAGAAGAACUUUAUUGGUCAACAAGAAAUUUUUACUCAGAACAUAACAAGGAUAACUUAUAUUGUUCAACAAUUAAACGUUCAGAUAAAAAAAACUAUCACCUCUUCAGAAAUAUAUAAAUCAAGAAAAAAAUUACACCCCAUUUCAAG
Long non-coding RNA from Gordionus sp. m RMFG-2023, 519 nucleotides. RefSeq lists it as uncharacterized. The record is from RefSeq and is a predicted model, not a curated record. The transcript is spliced from 4 exons. Lineage: Eukaryota; Metazoa; Nematomorpha; Gordioida; Chordodea; Parachordodidae.